UACGUAGGGUGCGAGCGUUGUUCGGAUUUACUGGGCGUAAAGGGCGCGUAGGCGGCCCUCCUCGUCGCGUGUGAAAGCCCCGGGCUCAACCUGGGAAUUGCGCGCGAAACGGGGGGGCUUGAGUUCGGGAGAGGAGCGUGGAAUUCCCAGUGUAGAGGUGAAAUUCGUAGAUAUUGGGAAGAACACCGGUGGCGAAGGCGGCGCUCUGGACCGAGACUGACGCUGAGGUGCGAAAGCGUGGGGAGCAAACAGG
This 253-nucleotide ribosomal RNA is filed under the name uncultured bacterium. RNAcentral's name for it is "partial 16S ribosomal RNA". It matches the Rfam family "Bacterial small subunit ribosomal RNA", at positions 524 to 776 of the family's 1533-position model. The record is from RNAcentral.